This 632-nucleotide ribosomal RNA is filed under the name Burkholderia sp. Mp276. RNAcentral describes it as "bacterial SSU rRNA". It matches the Rfam family "Bacterial small subunit ribosomal RNA", at positions 90 to 717 of the family's 1533-position model. Lineage: Bacteria; Pseudomonadati; Pseudomonadota; Betaproteobacteria; Burkholderiales; Burkholderiaceae. The record is from RNAcentral.
GGCGAGUGGCGAACGGGUGAGUAAUACAUCGGAACGUGUCCUGGAGUGGGGGAUAGCCCGGCGAAAGCCGGAUUAAUACCGCAUACGCUCUGUGGAGGAAAGCGGGGGAUCUUUCGGGACCUCGCGCUCAAGGGGCGGCCGAUGGCAGAUUAGGUAGUUGGUGGGGUAAAGGCCUACCAAGCCGACGAUCUGUAGCUGGUCUGAGAGGACGACCAGCCACACUGGGACUGAGACACGGCCCAGACUCCUACGGGAGGCAGCAGUGGGGAAUUUUGGACAAUGGGCGCAAGCCUGAUCCAGCAAUGCCGCGUGUGUGAAGAAGGCCUUCGGGUUGUAAAGCACUUUUGUCCGGAAAGAAAACCUCUGGGUUAAUACCCCGGGGGGAUGACGGUACCGGAAGAAUAAGCACCGGCUAACUACGUGCCAGCAGCCGCGGUAAUACGUAGGGUGCGAGCGUUAAUCGGAAUUACUGGGCGUAAAGCGUGCGCAGGCGGUGAUGUAAGACCGAUGUGAAAUCCCCGGGCUUAACCUGGGAACUGCAUUGGUGACUGCAUCGCUCGAGUAUGGCAGAGGGGGGUAGAAUCCACGUGUAGCAGUGAAAUGCGUAGAGAUGUGGAGGAAUACCGAUGGCG